RNAcentral lists this ribosomal RNA (253 nucleotides) under uncultured bacterium. Its description in RNAcentral is "partial 16S ribosomal RNA". It matches the Rfam family "Bacterial small subunit ribosomal RNA", at positions 524 to 776 of the family's 1533-position model. The record is from RNAcentral.
UACAGAGGGGGCUAGCGUUGUUCGGAAUUACUGGGCGUAAAGGGCGCGUAGGUGGCCUGUUAAGUCGAACGUGAAAUCCCCGGGCUCAACCCGGGAACUGCGUCCGAGACUGGCAGGCUCGAAUCCGGGAGAGGGAUGUGGAAUUCCAGGUGUAGCGGUGAAAUGCGUAGAUAUCUGGAGGAACACCGGUGGCGAAGGCGGCAUCCUGGACCAACACUGACACUGAUGAGCGAAAGCCAGGGGAGCAAACGGG